Molecule: ribosomal RNA, 1154 nt
Filed under: Cricotopus bicinctus
Lineage: Eukaryota; Metazoa; Arthropoda; Insecta; Diptera; Chironomidae
Description: bacterial SSU rRNA
Rfam family: Eukaryotic small subunit ribosomal RNA (bases 1-384)
Source: RNAcentral
AGACUCACUAUUUGGCGGAAACCGGCUUGAUGUUCUGGGCGGCACGCGAGUUACAAUGAAGCCAUAAGCGUGCUCCUUGUUCGAAAGAAUUGGGUAAUCACUUAACCGGCUUCGUAGUUGGGAUUAUGGACUGAAAAAGUCCAUAUNUUUUUUNGGAAUAUCUUGUAAGCAUGAGUCACUAGCUUGUGUUGAAUACGUCCCUUGAGUUUGUACACACCGCCCGUCGCUAGUACCGACGAGUUAUUUAGUGAGAUCUUUGGAGGUGAGCUCUACGGUGACUUGUUCAUUGUGGUUGUUUUUGCCAAAGCUGAUCAAACUUGAUGAUUUGGAGGAACUAAAAGUCGUAACAAGGUUUCCGUAGGUGAACCUGCGGAAGGAUCAUUAAUGUAUAUUCAUUUAUGCUUUUACUGAUCUUUUACACUUUGUGAAAAAGGGAAAGAGAAAUACAAAAAUCCUUGGUACUCGCAUGCGACUACAAGCAAUCGCUUGUAUGUUGUUGGUUUCUAAAGGGUUACGCCAAGGGAACUCACUAUACCUAUGCAUUAAAGCAUCUAAUGCUUUAAAACAUAAGCGGAUAUCGUUUCAAAAAGGAAUAGAGAAAAUUUUAACCCUAGACAGGGGAUCACUUGGCUCAUGGGUCGAUGAAGACCGCAGCAAACUGCGCGUCGCCAUGUGAACUGCAGGACACAUGAUCAUUGACAUGUUGAACGCAUAUUGCGCCUUAUACAUUUGGUUCUAACUAAAGCCUCAAACUUUGUGGAACUGUAUAAGGUACAUAUGGUUGAGUGUCGUAAUUUCAUUAUAUUUGAAUUAUAAACAUCACACUCCGGUGUGUUGUACAAUUCAUUGUCAUCAAAGACUCUCUUCAGUGAGAGAUUUAUGACUAAGGUGCUAUCAUGUCAGUUUACGCAAUUAUCACAGAAAUAUAUUUUACUAUAUGAUGUGUGCGCUAACUAUACGUAAUGUAAAGAANAGUUGCCAUAUNANNUGCAUAUAUAUUGAAAUGAUGAUUUAACCCGACAGCAAAACAAUACGAAUCUCNAUAAUNNUCGCUUUAUUGAGCGACCUCAANUCAUGUGUGNCNACCCCNUGNAUUUAAGCAUAUUAAUUAGGGGAGGAAAAGAAACCAANAGCCUCCCAGCUAAAUACCAAGA